Molecule: transfer RNA, 57 nt
Filed under: Anolis heterodermus
Lineage: Eukaryota; Metazoa; Chordata; Lepidosauria; Squamata; Anolidae
Description: tRNA-Cys
Source: RNAcentral
AGAAGAGCCCUAAAAGGCUCCGGGGCUUCUCCCGUUUUUAAGCAACGGGAGAAGCAA